GCCCAGGUGGUGAAAUUGGUAGACAUACCACUUUGAGGGGGUGGCGCCGGUUACGGUGUACGAGUUCGAAUCUCGUCCUGGGCAC
RNAcentral lists this transfer RNA (85 nucleotides) under Bacteroidia bacterium. RNAcentral describes it as "tRNA-Leu". It matches the Rfam family "tRNA". From Rfam's summary of the family: Transfer RNA (tRNA) molecules are approximately 80 nucleotides in length. Lineage: Bacteria; Pseudomonadati; Bacteroidota; Bacteroidia. The record is from RNAcentral.